GCCGAAGUAGCCAAGAUGGUCACGGCACUGGUCUGAAAAACCUGGGAUGUUGGUUCGAGUCCAACCUUCGGCACAA
RNAcentral lists this transfer RNA (76 nucleotides) under Candidatus Shapirobacteria bacterium CG_4_10_14_3_um_filter_35_13. RNAcentral's name for it is "tRNA-Phe". It matches the Rfam family "tRNA". From Rfam's summary of the family: Transfer RNA (tRNA) molecules are approximately 80 nucleotides in length. Their secondary structure includes four short double-helical elements and three loops (D, anti-codon, and T loops). Further hydrogen bonds mediate the characteristic L-shaped molecular structure. tRNAs have two regions of fundamental functional importance: the anti-codon, which is responsible for specific mRNA codon recognition, and the 3' end, to which the tRNAs corresponding amino acid is attached (by aminoacyl-tRNA synthetases). tRNAs cope with the degeneracy of the genetic code in two manners: having more than one tRNA (with a specific anti-codon) for a particular amino acid; and 'wobble' base-pairing, i.e. permitting non-standard base-pairing at the 3rd anti-codon position. Lineage: Bacteria; Candidatus Shapironibacteriota. The record is from RNAcentral. RNAcentral also lists the same sequence under 1 other name.